RNAcentral lists this ribosomal RNA (497 nucleotides) under uncultured bacterium. Its description in RNAcentral is "partial 16S ribosomal RNA". It matches the Rfam family "Bacterial small subunit ribosomal RNA", at positions 28 to 507 of the family's 1533-position model. The record is from RNAcentral.
GAUGAACGCUGGCGGCGUGCCUAAUACAUGCAAGUCGAGCGAACGGACGAGAAGCUUGCUUCUCUGAUGUUAGCGGCGGACGGGUGAGUAACACGUGGAUAACCUACCUAUAAGACUGGGAUAACUUCGGGAAACCGGAGCUAAUACCGGAUAAUAUUUUGAACCGCAUGGUUCAAUAGUGAAAGACGGUCUUGCUGUCACUUAUAGAUGGAUCCGCGCUGCAUUAGCUAGUUGGUAAGGUAACGGCUUACCAAGGCAACGAUGCAUAGCCGACCUGAGAGGGUGAUCGGCCACACUGGAACUGAGACACGGUCCAGACUCCUACGGGAGGCAGCAGUAGGGAAUCUUCCGCAGUGGGCGAAAGCCUGACGGAGCAACGCCGCGUGAGUGAUGAAGGUCUUCGGAUCGUAAAACUCUGUUAUUAGGGAAGAACAUAUGUGUAAGUAACUGUGCACAUCUUGACGGUACCUAAUCAGAAAGCCACGGCUAACUACGUG